This 253-nucleotide ribosomal RNA is filed under the name uncultured bacterium. Its description in RNAcentral is "partial 16S ribosomal RNA". It matches the Rfam family "Bacterial small subunit ribosomal RNA", at positions 524 to 776 of the family's 1533-position model. The record is from RNAcentral.
UACAGAGGUCUCAAGCGUUGUUCGGAUUCAUUGGGCGUAAAGGGUGUGUAGGUGGCGCGCUAAGUCGGGUGUGAAAUUUCGGAGCUUAACUCCGAAACUGCAUUCGAUACUGGCGUGCUUGAGGACUGGAGAGGAGACUGGAAUUCAUGGUGUAGCAGUGAAAUGCGUAGAGAUCGGUAGGAACACCAGUGGCGAAGGCGGUCUCCUGGAGCACACUUGACGCUGAGGCGCGAAAGCUGGGGGAGCGAACGGG